This 366-nucleotide long non-coding RNA is filed under the name Manihot esculenta (cassava). Its description in RNAcentral is "long non-coding RNA (MESC_LNC007818)". The record is from RNAcentral. Lineage: Eukaryota; Viridiplantae; Streptophyta; Magnoliopsida; Malpighiales; Euphorbiaceae.
CCUCCUGCUGAGUCAUAGUGAAGAUCUGUGCUGGAGCUGAUGGACCUUCACCCCUGAAAUCCGCUGAAGAAGAGGCUGCCCCUCUCCCUCUGCCUCUGCCAUUAGCCUGAGUCGUGGCUGGAGCUGCUGGCUUAGCCAUACUACCAGAAGCUGUCUGCUGGGACUGUGCCACAAAAGCUGCUCUAGGACACUCCCGUGCCAUGUGUCCCUCCUGCCCACAUCUGAAGCAGGCUGUCGUCCCAAACCGACAUACUCCUUUGUGCGGCUUCCCACACUUCAUAUAUACUGCAUUAUCUGCACCUGAGCUCGAGCCACUUCCUAAUCCCAGACCUGACUUGAUCUUAUUCCAUAACUUGUUCUUCUUUG